This is a non-coding RNA of Prunus mume (Japanese apricot), 367 nucleotides long. The record is from RefSeq and is a predicted model, not a curated record. NCBI's taxonomy places the organism in Eukaryota, Viridiplantae, Streptophyta, Magnoliopsida, Rosales, Rosaceae.
CUUGGAAUUUUGUCGCGUCUGCACUGCCGUCGAUAACUCUGGUGGUGGUCGUCAACCUAUUUGGAUCACCACCUUCCAAAUUGUGGACACUCCCCAUAUCAAGAUCUUGCAUUCAGCUGUUUUUGAUGUGGACAUGAAAGAUUACUACAUCUAUUAUAGCUUCACUCCAGAUUGCGAGGAUGACGAACCCAAAGGAGAAGAAACUAAGGGACCACAGGAAAAGAGAUGCAAGCGGAAAAAGAGAUGCAAGCGAAAAAGAGAUUGCAUAGAGUAGAGAGUUCAGAGUUUAAUCUCCAGCUGCUUAAUUAGUUUCUCUCAUCAUUGAUCAUUCUGUCUUGGAUCAAAUAACUUGUAAUCAGUACAUUUA